RNAcentral lists this long non-coding RNA (1013 nucleotides) under Coffea arabica (coffee). RNAcentral's name for it is "long non-coding RNA (CARA_LNC001157)". Lineage: Eukaryota; Viridiplantae; Streptophyta; Magnoliopsida; Gentianales; Rubiaceae. The record is from RNAcentral.
UCUCCUUUAUUCAAUGUCAAAUAAACUCUUUUUUUCUGUAAUUUCUUGCUCAGAAUUUGCUUACCCACGGGAUAAUUCUACUUGGAAGGAGGAAAAUGGGGAACUUUUGGUUAGAUUAGGUUGUACUUCUUGGCCAAAAAAUCAGCAAAUUUUUCCCCAAAUUAUGCGUAGCCUUCGGAUUCAUCUUAUAGAUAAUUCUUACAGGAUGGCAUUUUGGGGAAUAUUAUCCCCCAACUACAGCCGACUUUGUAGCCACGGGAUGCUUUUCUUCUUUGGUUGACUUUUAUAGAUAAAUUUGAGUCUUGGUUUUGAUUGUCAAAAUUCCUUUUUUUCCUAUUUUAUUAGUUUCAGUGUAGCUGAAUGUGUUCUUCUAAACUUUUAAUACAAAUUUAGCCCCAUUUUUAAAUAUGAUUACAACAUGUUUUGAUCCUUUCGAUAUUACUCUAAUGACUAAAAUAAGUUCUGGAGUAAUUUUUUUCAUUAUCUAAACAUUCAAUGCAUUGCUUUUUAGUUUUUUUUUUUCUCUUCUUAUUUUAUGACUGACGACAUGGAAAAUUUGUAGGAGAGUAUGGGAGGAUUUGGGUUUUUUUGAAUUUCCCUUCUCCAGAAUUCUGUUAUUUCUACUUGAAGUUGGCUUGAAGGUAAGAUUUUUUUCCCCUUUUCUAACUCUUAAGAAAUUAAGUGAAUGACUUCUCUUUAUGGGACAACCAUUCUACUAAAAGCAAUUUGUGUUCUUUGUUCUCUGUUUUACAGAUGGCUAGGUGCCAUGGAAGCAAUCAUUCUACUGAAAGCCAUUUUUACAUUUUCUUCUCUGUUGUACAAAUGUUCCUUUUCUUUCAUGUAAAAAAUAAUAUUCUAAGCUGAAGGUGAAUGAAUGUAAUCCCCAGAAACUAGUAUAUUCAUUGUAAAGGUGUAUGAAUUUAUACUUUUUAAAUGGAAAGGAUAUUAUGUAAUUUCAUUUAAAAAGUAAGGUUCUACCUUUGCUUCUUUAUUCUUACUCUUAUUGAUUAAAC